UUUAUUUGCUCUUGGUACGACCAAGAAUGGGACAGUGAUCUUUUAUACAAUUUGAUACAGUAAGUGGUACAAAAGAAUGUGUUUUAAAUAAAAAGCCAGAGUGGAGUAGCAAAAAUAUUAAAAGAUUAAGUAAAAAAUUGUCGGCAUGGGAAUUAAUCCGAGACCUUGAUGCUGUUUUUUUUUUUUCCACCGUCCGAGUCCGAGGGCGAGCCCGGCGUGUGACACGGCCGUGGGACAGAGCCAAGCUCGGGUUUGGUUUAGCAGGACCAAUUUCAUCGUUUAACGCUUUUUUGGUGAGAAAAGGGCAGCGCUGAGCUCCCUCCGCGGGCGGGGCCGGGGGCACGGAGGGGCUGCUGACCCCUUCUCUACUCCACAGGGCUGGGCCGGGCUUCCAAGCAGAGGCUUCACAAGGUUAGUUCGGAACUAGCAGGGAGCUGAGAUACCAGCAGACAUCAGGUUACUGCAAACUCCUCCGAUAUAAUCAUUAUUAUUCAUGUUAUUAUUAUUUUUAGGGGGUUUUUAUCUGUUUCAGCAGCGUGCUGCUCCCUCCUCCCGGUGCCGCCCCGCCUGAGCCCGCGGGGGCAGCUGAGCUCGGACAGAAGAGAAAAAAAGCUCACGUUUAAAACAAGGAUUGUACAUGAAAAUCCCCCUUGGUGUAGAUUUCGCCGUACUUUUUUUUCCCUUUUUGAUCACGUUAGAAAGUGCAGAUUUAGCUGAAAGCGGCCGGACUCUGUACAAGGCUGAGCCCGAGCUCAGCAGCCGCUCGCCUGGAAAGGGUUAACACGCUCGGGGACAAAAUGCCGAAUACAGAGGGACAGGGACACACCUCGGGGAGUCCCCGCCCGGGAGCUCCGGGUUCAAACACCGUCAUUUCAUUCAAAUUCACUCAGCGUUGGCGACUCGGCAGGACAGGGCCAGCACGGCCGGGGACAGCGGCAGGACAGGGCCAGCACGGCCGGGGACAGCGGCAGGACAGGGCCAGCACGGCCGGGGACAGCGGCAGGAGCGGCUGGGAGCGCUGGAACGGCCGCUCCAUCCCGGGAUGAGCCCGGCCGGGAUCGCCGCUCCAUCCCGGGAUGAGCCAGGCCGGGAUCACCGCUCCAUCCCGGGAUCAUCCCGGCAGGGAUUCCCCGCUCCAUCCCGGGAUCAUCCCGGCCGGGAUCCCCGCUCCAUCCCGGGAUCAUCCCGGCCAGGGAUCACCGCUCCAUCCCGGGAUGAGCCCGGCUGGGAUCACCGCUCCAUCCCGGGAUGAGCCCGACAGGGAUCACCGCUCCAUCCCGGCAGGGAUCGCCGCUCCAUCCCGGGAUCAUCCCGGCAGGGAUCGCCGCUCCAUCCCGGGAUCAGCCCGGCUGGAAUCACCCACCGGGAUCCGGAGCAGGGCUGGCCCAGCGCGGCUGCAGACACCGGCAAGCGGAAAGUUUCCAGGGAGGUAAUAAAUUAAACUGCCCGCCGGCUGGUUUCUUUCCUUUCCUUUCCUUUUUCCAUCCAGUCCCUCUCAGCCUUGGCCCGGCCCUGCAGCCCUCGGAGCGGCCGGCGGGGAAGGAGCUGGGAUCGUGUUAAUGAACUGCUGUCAGUUUGGGAAUCCAGGUUAUAUUCAUACACAGAAAGUAGACAACCACAUCACCCUCCAUAGAAACUAGUGCAUGCAAAUAACUCUUCCAUAUGGGGGAAAGGCCGGGGCUAUGAGGGAGGGAGGAGGGGACCACUAGUGACGGACAGGCCUAGGGGGGUUAGGAGGAAUCUCAACAUUUUUACCUCGGAAGCUAAAUCAGUGCUUUGUAUUAAAUUUUUGGCAAACACACCGCGUUGCCAUCCUUUCCAUUAACACAUCACACCAUGGAGAAAUGCAAAUCAAAGCAGCAUGCAGGCAAAAGAAAAGAAAAAAAAACCAAAACAAAACAACCAAAAAAAAAAAAAGAAAGGAAAGAGAGGCAAAGUGAGGAAAAAAUGGCAGCAGGAAGAGUUGGGAAGGGCGGGAUUGGCAAGAGGAGACACAGCAGGUUACAUGGAGUUUGCUUUUGUUUUGCACCACCCUUUGUCCUCGAUGCAUGACACCAACGUUACAGAAAGCAACCACUACAGAGGUGGGGACUCAAUGGCACGGGGGAUGGGAUGUCUCCUGCACAUGCUUCCACCAGAAAAGAGAAAAGAAAGUGAAAAUAAAAGUUCCUUUUUCCACAUAAGGCACAGGACAAAGAAACCCCACUCACGGACUCAAGGCGAAAAUGAGUUUUUCUUGGCUCUUGCCUGAUGCAUCUAGAGAAUAUGGUGACUCAAGCACAUUAUCCAUGACAGAAAAUUCCACUGUUGUACAAAAUCAAUUGUUAAUUCUAACCUUUAUUCUUAUACAAUUUGCAGAAGAGAGUUGAGUAUGAUUGCUCUGGGGUUUAAUGGCAGGAGGGACGGGACUAUAAUACAACCCAAACGUAGUGGCGAGUUGAGCGGGGACAUGGAAAUGAAGUCACGGAGAUGAAUUUCC
Long non-coding RNA from Taeniopygia guttata (zebra finch), 2479 nucleotides. The record is from Ensembl. NCBI's taxonomy places the organism in Eukaryota, Metazoa, Chordata, Aves, Passeriformes, Estrildidae.